CGGGAUGUCGUAAACCUUGCGUUGGUUCGGGUAGAAGAGGCCGUAGUUCCUCUCUGAAGUGGCGCCGGGCUUCUGGUCUUCAUUGAAAAGAGCGAAUAGAUAUACGUUGAGGGGCUCCUUGGGCCGGAGCGGGGUCCCGCCGCCGGUCAGCACGCGGCGGACGAGGUUACCGUUGUAGGCAGCCGCGUUCUCGGGACCCGCGCCAACCUCGUUUCGUCGCCCUUGGAAGGCCACCCGGUCUCGGAGACGACCAUUCCGACGUCGUCGAAGCCGACGGCGGACAUGGCGGCGAAGACGGCGUCGGUCUGGGCUUCGAUAAGGUCUUGUAGAGGAGGCCGUUGUUGGGGUCCUUGUUGCCGGCGUUAUCACGGAGCAAGGCGUAGUCGAGCGAGAUGGUGUCGGUGUUGGCGAUGUAGGCGAAGAAUGGGUAGGCAUUCACCAUCAGAUAAGAACCGGUUUGUUUGAGAAAGGCGAGCAUCGGUUUGAUGACCGGUUCGACCAGCUCCGGCUUGAAGGCGCCGGCGGAGGAGGGGUAGGACGUGUGGAGCGCGCUGAGAGCGAGGGGCGAGGAGAUUUUGAUGGCGGAGGANAGCUUAGACUCUAAACUUCUAGUACUAUGUUAUUUAACGUUGGUUAUCAGAAGUCAUGAAAUCAAACUGUUGAUCCUGAGGUUUUAGAAUGUUGUUGAUUGAUUAAUAUCACUUGAUUUCUAUCUUUCUUCAUUCAAAGGGCGUUGCUCGACCUUUUUAUCCCAUUAAUUGAAUUUCACAAGGUUCUUCCCUUGUUUAUUUCUAUGAUUUUAGUCGCACAUCGAUUAUAGUUUAUUCCUUCAAGAAUUGUGGUGUGACAAUUCUAAAUCUUACCGUCCAUAAUCUUCCUAAUUUGAAGGCAUAUAACGCAAGCAUGAGAUAGUGUAGGUGAUAAUUGUCAUUUUCACAAUUCAGGAACGGUUAUUAAGAUCUCUUUAAUUAAUAUCAAAAUUCCUUCCAUAUCUAAUACUCCCUCCGUCCCACUAGAAUUGGCACACUUGCUUUUUUUGUUUGUCCCACUAGAAUUGGCACUUUCCUAAAAUAGUAUGUGGUCCCUACUUUCUCUACUCACAUAAAAUAAGUGGACCUUACCUACUUUACACUCUUAACCCUUUAUUCUUAAUCUCCGUGCCAACUCAAAAGUGCCAAUUCUAGUGGGACGGAGCUAAUAAAAUCUUUAAACUCUAUCUCCUAACCUAAACGUGAACAAGCAAUAAUUUUUUUCUAUAGAUUUGUAUAGUGACGUAUUGUAUACACAUAAUCUCAUGAACUAUACAUAAAUAUAUUACGAACUCAUUAAAUAUUCAACUAGUUAUCACAUAAUACAAUAUUCAUUUUUUUGUUUCUUCAAUACCAUAUAAUUCGUAACAAAAGUACUUCCAAUUCGUAACAUUGAAUGAAAAUUUUUCAUGUUACAUGAAACUAUAAUUCGUAACAAAAAGUAAUUCCAAUUCGUAACGAUGGCUGGAAUAUACGAUUCUUAGGGCACGUUUCAGAAAAAAAAAUGUUGUUUUAGAGGAGAAAAAAAUAUUUCUUCGUCUAUUAAUUCAUCUUUCUGAAAAUACCAAAAAAAUAUAAUUCGUAAUAGAUGACAUUAGUAUAAAACAUAUAAUUCGUAAUAGAUGACAAUAAAAUUCGUAAUGCACUAUGUUUAGACAUAUAAUUCGUUACAACUAUACAAAAUAACACUUUGAAAUAUCAUUAGACAUAUAAUUCGUAACAAAAUUAAUGGCCGCAAAUAAGCUAAAAAAAGUAGAGAAAUGAUUGUUAAGAUAUGAAAAAUUAAAAUUGCAUUCACAUAUGGUUUAGAUAUGGAAAAUGAAAUCCCAAAAUUAAUGGCCGCAAAUUAUGGAAUGUCAACUUUAUGCAAUUCCCCUUUGAUGUGUGUAUUUUAGCUACUUAGUUUAGUGCGUGUUUCGCCUUGAUUUCAUGUGAUUUUGCAUAGUUUGCAAUAUUUUGGCGCAGGAAUGAGAAGAAGUGGAGAUGGAGCUGUUGAUAGAAAGAAAUUGGAGAAAGACGAGCUUUCAAUGGAGAUUUGACGUGAAGAUGGAAGAUAGUUAGAGNNNNNNNNNNNNNNNNNNNNNNNNNNNNNNNNNNNNNNAAAAAAAUUGGGGGGGGAGGGGGGUGGGUUGGGUGGAUGAAAUCUUAUGCAUUUUAUAUGAAACUUUAUGCAUUUUAUAUGAAAGUUCAUGCAUUCUCGUAUGAAACUUAUGCAUCUAAAUAUACCUAUUUGAAAAUAUAUACUCCCUCCGUCCCACUUAAGAUGCAACAUUGCUUUUGGGCACAAGAUUUAAGGAGUUAUAUAUUAAGGAGUGAUAAAGUAGGAGAGAAGAAGUAAUAAAGUGAUAAAGUAGGAGAGAGAAUGUAAUAAGAAAAUAUUUAAUUAGUGAUAAAGUAAGAAAGAGAAAACAAAAAAGUGAUAAAGUAGGAGAGAGAAUGUAAUAAGAAAAUAUUUAAUUAGUGUUAAUUUUUGCCAAAUAAAGAACGUAGCAUCUUGGUUGGGACGGCCCAAAAAGGAAAAUGUUGCAUCUUGGGUGGGACGGAGGGAGUAUAUAUUUUUUUAAUUUCGAAAAUUACAUUCCAAUUUUACCCCUCUCUAGAUUUUGCCUUGAAAUGCCUUGCCACGUGUCACCAUCUUGAUGCGCCACAAGUCAUAAUUGUGUCAAUUUGUUGAUUCAUAUAAGCUGAUCUUACAACCAUGUUACAAUGUAAUGAGGCUAAACUUUUUAUAGUAUUUGUGAACAAUUCAAUUAGCGUAUUUACAACAUAUAUUGUCAAUAAUGUAAUUGCAUUUUCUAUUUCAAUAUACUGUUCUGUAUUAAUGUUGUAACAUGUAUUACUUGUUCAAAUAUACACAAGAAUACUUUAUAAAUUUAGACAACUACUUUAUAAUUUUAUAUAUGUAUUAUUUUUUUUUUUCCAAAUAGGUUAAAAUUACAAUUAACUCUAAAUUCUAAGCGGGGUCGGAGCCCACAACCGCCUAGAAGUAAGGACCGACAAGCCUUGAACCGCAAAACACGUCUACCAGUAAGUAUAAACGGAUUAGGCUGAAUAACAUAAAUAGGCACAAGUUUCUUCUAUUCAAAGUUUAUACGAAUGACUAUUGUUUAAACAAGAGCAGAAAAUAUACGAGACAUACUAGGAUUACAAAGAAAACGUUACAAAACAAGAUUGUGAAAUAAUACGAAAGUAGGUAAAUAAUUGUAGAUCGUAAAAGUCAUAUCUACCCAUAACCACCGAUCUGUCAAGUAGUCUCUGUCCCUUUGAAUUUUCGGCUUCCUCUUUUAAAUGAUAGUAACUCAUUUUAUAUGUUGUGUAUAUGUGAUAUUAAUGAGAAACAUAUAAAACGUAUGCAACAUAUAACAUAAACUAAAGAAUACAAUAUAGAAUAUGUACUAAUCUAAAACAAUAACGCCAAUUCUACUGCAUAAUAAAAAAAUGCUACUACUAUCAUUAACAAAUAAAUGAUCAAAUUCCACAACUUGUUCAUACUAUCUCCCAAAAACGUGCAAUUUAGUAACCCGUGGGGAAUUCGCAGCUCCCAAAUUCUGCAAAAAAAGAAAAUCCAACGUUAUAAAAACGCUUAAAGAAAGAAAAUAAAAAAGAAAAAGAAAAACAGUAGACAAUUAUAGGUGCGGCAGUUGAAACGUAGCAAUAACUUACUAGGAGGGUGGGUGACGACGUAGGCGGCGCCACCGAAAUCACAGGCCCCGCUCCGCCGCGAGUUCUUCUGAUAAUAGCUGUUGAAUGCGUAGGACGCGUGCGCCUCCACGGUGUUGGGAUUGUAACACGUGGCCUCGGGCUGGAUCGGACGGCAGUCAGCACCCCCUUCACCACAAGCGUAAUCCAUGGCUUUCUGCAGCUUCUUCUCCCCGGCCUUGUCGUUGGCCACGCACCAUGUCUGCCCCGCGGCCUCCACCUGAGUUUUGCUCUCUGUCAAAUUGGGAGCACCUUUCAGGGCCUCCACCGUCAGCGGGAUGUCGUAAACCUUGCGUUGGUUCGGGUAGAAGAGGCCGUAGUUCCUCUCUGAAGUGGCGCCGGGCUUCUGGUCUUCAUUGAAAAGAGCGAAUAGAUAUACGUUAAGGGGCUCCUUGGGCCGGAGCGGGGUCCCGCCGCCGGUCAGCACGCGGCGGACGAGGUUACCGUUGUAGGCAGCCGCGUUCUCGGGACCCGCGCCAACCUCGUUUUCGUCGCCCUUGGAAGGCCACCCGGUCUCGGAGACCACCAUUCCGACGUCGUCGAAGCCGACGGCGGACAUGGCGGCGAAGACGGCGUCGGUCUGGGCUUCGAAUAAGGUCUUGUAGAGGAGGCCGUUGUUGGGGUCCUUGUUGCCGGCGUU
Molecule: long non-coding RNA, 4368 nt
Filed under: Salvia miltiorrhiza (redroot sage)
Lineage: Eukaryota; Viridiplantae; Streptophyta; Magnoliopsida; Lamiales; Lamiaceae
Description: long non-coding RNA (SMIL_LNC004802)
Source: RNAcentral